ACAAGUUUCGUGAUUUUUGGA
Molecule: microRNA, 21 nt
Filed under: Sorghum bicolor (sorghum)
Lineage: Eukaryota; Viridiplantae; Streptophyta; Magnoliopsida; Poales; Poaceae
Description: sbi-miR6218-3p
Source: miRBase by way of RNAcentral